RNAcentral lists this long non-coding RNA (6178 nucleotides) under Musa acuminata (dwarf banana). Its description in RNAcentral is "long non-coding RNA (MACU_LNC004083)". Lineage: Eukaryota; Viridiplantae; Streptophyta; Magnoliopsida; Zingiberales; Musaceae. The record is from RNAcentral.
CCAACUUUUCGAACUUAUGUGAGAUUGUCUAAGUCAUGAAGCACCCAGGUCCCAUAGAACCUAUAAAAGGAGCAAGUUGAUUAGCUCGAAAGCGAGCGAUGGACAAGUCCUGACAUCUCGCGAAAAGGACAGCUUUACAAGCAAUUCAGCAAACACUUGACGUACAAGAGAGAAAAGAGAGGAAGAAGAAAACAAGGACUUUAGAACGUAAAAUGAACAGUAGCAAGUUCACAAACGACUGCUCAUCGGGUAUCAGGCAUGAUGGUAAGAUCCUGUCAACUAAAUAUGCGAACUUGUGAAAACCGAUCAACAUCCAACACUACCCUAAAGCCCCAUCCACCCCUGUGCCACCUAAGGGUAUCUGGGGGUCUGAGAUGGUUGACGUUUCACACCACACCACGAUUUGUAGAAAACAAGUCGCAACAUGCGAAAACACAGCCAUUUUGGGGUAGUUUUGCCUGGCAUGAUGAGCGGUCGCACUGUAACGUUAUGAACUAUUCUUGCUUAUUUUUUCCAAGCAAAAACACACAAAACCAACGCAAAACUUGCUGCUAAGCAUCUAUAUAAGCACGUAAAAGCGACAAACGACUCGUUCAACGAAGAUGUUACGGGUGCGCAACAAACGUUCGUGAUAUUCUCCCCCACUUAAACUAUCAACACCCUCGUCGACACUUACUGGUAGGCUUUAAUGAUUGCUUCUUCGUGUCUUAGGGCAUCUUUAGGCUCUCAACUAGUUUCUGUUCGAGGAAGCUUUGGCCACUUCACCAAGUAUUCGGUUGCUUCGCUCUAUUAGGUAGCUUUGUCUUGCGAUUCGCUAAAAUGGUUUCAACUCGCUUCUCCUAGGAGGCUCUGCUAGUUGGAAUACUUCGGGAAGCAUCUUGCGGAUCUGAGUAGUAGGCUUUCAAGUUACUUACGAGGAAGACAUUGUGAAUUUUAAGCCACGUUGACAGCUACAACUUGUAGGAGACAUUGCCUACCCUGCUGAUAAUUAGGAAGAGUCUUUCAUACUUGCACACUAAUCUCUUGUGUACUUUAUGCCGAAAGAAUUAAAGCGAUGUUAGUUGGAGCUUCACCAACACUAAGUCACCAACUUUAAACUCCUAUGACAUUCUCAAGUCUGCCCACUUCAUCUAUCUUUUUGGCCACCUUCUCCAAGUAAGCCCGUGCAAUAUCUGCAUUUCGGUGUCAUUCCUUUGCAAAGUGAUAUGCUGACGAGCUACUUCCAGUAGAAUCAAUCACCAAGGUGUGAGGAGUUGACGACAGUUGUCCCGUAAUGAUCUCGAAGGGGCUUUUGUUAGAUGCAGAGCUCCGCUGCAAGUUGUAAGAGAAUUGGACUAUGUCCAACUGCUUUACCCGAUCUCUUUGGUUAGAACUCACGUAGUGCUGAAGAUAUUGCUCAAGGAGCAAAUUUAAUUUUUCAAUUUGACCAUCCGUUUGGGGGUGGAGGCUUGUGGAGAAGUAUAACUUGGACCAUAGCAAUUUGAAUAGCUCGAUCCAAAAUUAUCCAAAGAAUCAUGCAUCUCGAACACUGAUGAUAUUAUGCGAAACUCCCUAAUACUUCACCAUAUUCUUCAUCAUCAACUUGGCCGCCUCCUCUGCUGAACAGUGUAGGGGUGCAACAAUGAAUGUUGCAUACUUUAAAAACUGAUCGACCACUACGAGUAUCGAUCUGAGUCCCUCUACUACCGACAAACUUAAUAUGAAGUCCAAGGAAAUGCUCCCCCAUGGACUUUUUGGUACAGGCAACGGCUCCAAAAAUCUCACCGGCUUUCGCUACUCUAUCUUAUCUUAUUGGUAAGUAAGGCAUGUUCGAACAUAUUCCUUUACAUCAGUCCCCAUCUUUGGCCAAUAAAAAACCCUCUCCACAAGAGCCAACGUUCGAUGAAUGCUCGAAUGUUAAGCCCAAAGAGAAUUAUGACACACUAUCAAGAGUUCACGCCUCAAAUUAUCCGCUCGAGGAACAUAAACUCUAUUCCCUUUGGUGUAGAUGAAACCCUCCUAGACCCAAAAUCAUCGUGUCUUUCCCUCUUUGAUUAUUUGCAUUAAGGUUAUUGCUUGAGGAUCACUGCAUAGUCCGUCCCUGAUUGCUAUUGAAAUUUUGGUAUAUUCAGAACCGGGCCUCGUAGCUCGGAAGUUUGUUUUAUGUCAAACAGGAAAUUUUCGAGCUCUUUAGCAUCCCUAGCACCCUCUAAGUAAUGCGGCUCGGGUACCCUCAAGUUUUGUGGUGGAGUAACACGGGUGUUGUUCCCUCUCACAUUAAGAGCCCUUGUGAGCAAUAUCACCCUGGACGUGAGUUCCACCACGACUUCAUGCAGAGGUUACACAGAGUCUUUGGUGUCUUCCGUUAGUCGAUCGACUAGGGACUCAACCUAGUCGAUCCGAAAUUCAGCUUCUUUUUAUGAGCUCUCUACCCCAAGAAGCCUUCGUUGGCCUUAGUAGAGUUCCUCCAAGUUCGCUUCAAGAACAUCAAGGUGAGCUUCCAUAGCUGUAAGUCUCUCCUUAUGGCUUCUUUUCCCGGUUGGCGCUCCAAAUUGUGCCUCCUCUGCUCGUGGAGAAUAGCCAACUUCUUGCUCGUCUUAUUCGCUAUCGCACUUCUCCUGAGCGGCUCCAAUAGCAUAAGAGCGAGUUUGCACUUGUAUCCCACCUAAGCUGCUUGGGGCAAUGGCCCGGUUCGCCCCAUCUUGCUUGAUUCACCAUGAUGUUUCACUAUGGUGAGAUUAUGAAACUUUUUUGCUGUAUGCUCGAGUUGCUUAUCCACUCUGAUACCACAAUGUCACAGACUUAACUGAAAUUGCCUAAGUUGUGAUGCACUCUUGCGGCAAAGUCAUGGACUUAGUUGGAGUUGCGUAAGUCGUAAAGCACCUUUGCGUCAACUUCUCAGACUUAGCUGGGAUUGCCUAAGUCAUGAAAUGUCCUUGCGUUAUUCGCCCGCAAAGGGUUAGCCUAGUUGCAACCUUGCUCAGGUCCCGUAGGACCUAUAAAAAGAGCAAGUUGAUUAGUUCGACAGCAAGCGACGGACAAGUCCCAACACCUCACGAAGAGGCAGCUCUAUAAGCAAUUCAACAAACACUUGGUGUGCAAGAGAAAAAAGAGAGGAAAGAGAAAAUACGGACUUUAAAAUACAAAAUGAACAAUCCAAAGUCCACAAACGACUACUCAUAGGGUGUCAGGCACGUUGACAAGUUCCCAUCAACUUAACAUGCGAACUUGUGAAAACCGAUCAAUGCCCGACAUUACCCCGAAGCCCCAUCCACCCCUGUGCCACUCGGGGGAUUCUAGGGGUCUGAGAUGGUUGACGUUUUGCGCCACACCAUGGUCUGCAGAAAACUGGCCACAACACGUGAAAAUGGAGCCAUUUUGGGGUAGUUUUGUCUAGCAUGGUGAGUGGUCACACUGCAACGCUGCGAACUGUUCUUGCUUACAUUUUCAAAGCAAACACACACAAAACCAAGAUAAAACAUAUUGCUAAGCAUCUGUACAAGCACGCAAAAGCAACGAACGACUCGUUGAACGAAGAUGUUGUGGGUGCAGGACGACCAUUCGUGACAACGUGUUGAACACAGAUUCAUCACCAACACAGUCAUACAUGUGUCAAACACGUAUACAGCCAUGUCUUUUUUAAAAAAAAAAUUAAUUUGAUUGGAUACAAUGUUCGAGUGUAGGUUUUCUUACCUUAUAUGAAUAGAUCAUUAGCAUUAAAUACUACCUUCGUCCUGCCCCGACCAAUCCCUUCUUCCUUACCGGCGAAGCCUCUGCCCCCGGCCGAAGUGCCUCGCAAACCACCACCACCCACCAGUCGUAGCUGCUCCGACUCCUAAGCAAACUAGAGAUUUCACAACGAAGCAAACCCUUCUUCCUUGUUGAAGCAAAGCCCUCGACCUUGAGCGCCCCACUUGCAACCCAACGAUCAUUGCGCGUUCUUAGGCUAUCCAGCUCGAGCACCCCUCUGUCGUCAUGUGCUAUCAUCAUGCUAUCGAGCCCUUCACCUAGAGUGCCCCACUUGCGACCUAGCAACCAUCGUGCGCUCUCAGGCGCCCGCCCUGAGUGCCCCUCUACUACCGCAUGCCAUCGAGCCCUUUGCCCCGAGUGCCUCACCUACAUCCACCAUUACCCAGCAGCCAUCAUGCAACAACUUCCAUGGUGUCCGACGAAAAAUCUUCCUCAACGGCAUCCAACAAAGCUUCUUCCUCAACGCAUCGCAAGGUAAAUUACUAACUUUGUUUAGAUUUUAUACCACUUUAAAACACCUAUUUUGAUUAUUAACAUACUAUUAACCUUUUUUAUUUUUUAUUUUGUAGUUUUUUAAUCUGGGUUUUUUUACUACUUAUUAAAUUGUUAACCUAUUUUUUUUUUUUUAGUUUUUCAAAUCUAACUUACUAAAUUGUUAACAUAUUGUAUCUUUUUAUUUUUGUUAAUCUGGUUUUUGUACUUCUUCUGAUUAAAUUGUUAAAAUAUAACAAUUUGAGUAAACUGCAAAAUGUGUGUGUGUAUAUAUAUAUAUAUACACACGUGUCCUCAUUAUGUCCGUAUCAUGUUUUUUUUUUAAAUGACAUGUCGCCAUGUCCAUGUGUGUGCUUCGUAUGUACAGAUUUCUCACUCUUUUCCUAUUGUAUUAUUUUAUGUUCUAUUCACCAAAGUCAACUAGUUUUGUUCCACAGAUCUACAACUGAAAGAAAAAUCAUAUUGAUUUUCAUUAUGAAACAAAUGGCCUUGAUAUAUUUUUUGGGUCAAGCCUUCUGUUUUUCUUUUUUAAAGGAACGAAACCAAAUAAUUUAAGUCUCAAAACCUUGUCCUCGAGUUACAAAAGUGAGUUGGUUUUGCACCUAUCAAUAUCUUUCGGUGCUAUUUAGACUAGUUCACAGAGAGAUCAAGCUAGAGCAUAAAUUAUUGAAAGGCGUACCAUUCUCCUAUCAUAAUAAUGUCUAAGAUUGAAAAUGGCCCAUAGAGAAUAUUCAGCAGCUUUAUACUUGGUACAGGAAUGUUCCACUGUUACAGAUGUAAAUAUUUCAUUUGGUAGAUCUGGAUGCAAACUCUUUUCCUUGUUUGUGGGUGAAUCAUGAUGGCCAAUCGAACAUCUGAACAUACAUUCAAUUUCAACAGCCUUGAUGUUGGUAUCAUAUACAAUUGGAAGAAAGGUAGUGCUUUUCUGGGUCAAAGAAAAUAUUAUCGCAACUUCCCGAAAAAGUUGUUUGUGAAAAGGCACUUCACUGCACCGGGGAGAAGAAAAAAAAAAAGCAGAGACAUACACUAGCUCCUGAGUUUGAAAUCCAACUGCAAUAAUGCAUUUAGUCAAACAUUUGGAGGGUGAUCUGCAACCACAGAUAAUUGUUGAGAACCAAACAUUGUUAAACCAAAUAUAGACCAUUCAAGGUCUGACUCUCUUCUUUUUUUAAUCCUUCUCUGCCUCGUUUGAGAUUUAUCUUAAUAAACCAUGUAGGUCAUCCUGCCGACCAUAUAACCAAAAUAAAUGAUAAAUGGUUGCCAAAAUGAGCAUUUCGUGCCCUCAUGAACAAACGGUGAAAUGCUUAGACACUAAAUCAAAGAAGCUAAGAAACAGCAAAGAGAAUUCACGGCAAGGAGCAUUUGAGCUUAAAAACACAUUAUAUCUUUACACGAUUCACGUCAAACAUAAUUAUCAAAACACGAAGAUGCAUAAUUAAGAAGCAAAACAGAACCAAAUAAGAAUAACAUCAACAGCCACUUGCGGAAGAUAAUAAAACAACCCAUUGGUUCUGAAUUGAAUGCAGACAUCUUUCCAAUAAGGAGAUUAAUCCAUCGACAAAUCAGCAGAAGCAAAAUAACUAAUCUGAUCGUGAAGCAAAUAAAUUACUGCAAAUUCCUGCACAACAACGCAUGCAUGGGCCACUACAACACAUUAAUAAGUUUUCUUCAGAAAUCGCUUUAAUACUGCAUGUCUUGAGAGGGAAAACAUAGUAAAUAGCAAACAGGGCAAUCACAAUAUACUAAACCGUCCAAUUGUGAAACGGCGAAGAGGGAACAGAUGGAGAGAGGAGUACCAUCGAAGGGGAGAUGAUACUUGUCGGUCGUCGAUUGCCAUCAUCAGCCAUUGUCGAUUGCCGAUCACCAAUCAUCAACCACUGUCGAUUACAUUUCUUAGGAGAGAGUCGCUCGACUUCGAAUGUUUCCUCGUGAGAUUUGAUUCCUGGGUUAGGGUUUU